Molecule: long non-coding RNA, 699 nt
Organism: Neofelis nebulosa (Clouded leopard)
Lineage: Eukaryota; Metazoa; Chordata; Mammalia; Carnivora; Felidae
Exons: 3
Source: RefSeq, a predicted model, not a curated record
UGCACCUUGCCCGUGCCCAAGGUUGGGGGACCCAUUUAAAGCUGCAGGCAGCCUUCCUGCAAAGACACUGGCUCACAGUGGAUGGUUGCUUCUGAGUGGGACACCAGGACACCCGCUUAGGGGCCUAGACUCUAACAGCUCCCCCGGCCCAUGGAGCUGUCAGCUUAACGAUGGUAAAACAUGUCAGGAAGCAGGCCUGGGAAACCCUACAGCUAGCAGGGGCAGAAGGUAACUUACGCAUGUCAGAAAACGUAAGAAAAGUGGGCGAACAGGAUUCCGACUGCCAAAAAGCAGACUUUGGUAAGACACCUACCUCGCUUGCCUACUGAAACAAAGGUUCCUCUCGAGAUGCAGUGAGUCACGCAUAAGUUCCUCAAACGGCCUGGUAAUUGGCAAGCGCUCUGCAAAGACUGGCUUCGGAGUCAUGGGUCCGAAAUGGGUCUGCAAGUCGGCGACAUCCGGGCGGAACCCUCCUCAAGCUGCCAUCUCUCUGGCUGUCCCUCCUCUGCCUCCCUCGUCCACUUGCGGGCACCCUCGUGCUGACACUGGCCCACCCAGAUAACCCAGGAUCGCUUCCCUCUUUGAAGCUGAGCUGAUGGGCCACUUAACUCCAUCGGCAACUUCCGUUUUCCUUUGCCAUGCAACCUGGCAUCUUUGGUUUCCAAGGAUGAGGGCACAGAUGUCUCAGGAGGGUGGUGG